RNAcentral lists this ribosomal RNA (253 nucleotides) under Roseburia faecis M72/1. Its description in RNAcentral is "partial 16S ribosomal RNA". It matches the Rfam family "Bacterial small subunit ribosomal RNA", at positions 524 to 776 of the family's 1533-position model. The record is from RNAcentral. Lineage: Bacteria; Bacillati; Bacillota; Clostridia; Lachnospirales; Lachnospiraceae.
UACGUAUGAUGCAAGCGUUAUCCGGAUUUACUGGGUGUAAAGGGAGCGCAGGCGGUGCGGCAAGUCUGAUGUGAAAGCCCGGGGCUCAACCCCGGUACUGCAUUGGAAACUGUCGUACUAGAGUGUCGGAGGGGUAAGCGGAAUUCCUAGUGUAGCGGUGAAAUGCGUAGAUAUUAGGAGGAACACCAGUGGCGAAGGCGGCUUACUGGACGAUAACUGACGCUGAGGCUCGAAAGCGUGGGGAGCAAACAGG